Molecule: ribosomal RNA, 420 nt
Filed under: Sphingomonas melonis
Lineage: Bacteria; Pseudomonadati; Pseudomonadota; Alphaproteobacteria; Sphingomonadales; Sphingomonadaceae
Description: bacterial SSU rRNA
Rfam family: Bacterial small subunit ribosomal RNA
Source: RNAcentral
UAGUUGGUGUGGUAAAGGCGCACCAAGGCGACGAUCCUUAGCUGGUCUGAGAGGAUGAUCAGCCACACUGGGACUGAGACACGGCCCAGACUCCUACGGGAGGCAGCAGUGGGGAAUAUUGGACAAUGGGCGAAAGCCUGAUCCAGCAAUGCCGCGUGAGUGAUGAAGGCCUUAGGGUUGUAAAGCUCUUUUACCCGGGAUGAUAAUGACAGUACCGGGAGAAUAAGCUCCGGCUAACUCCGUGCCAGCAGCCGCGGUAAUACGGAGGGAGCUAGCGUUGUUCGGAAUUACUGGGCGUAAAGCGCACGUAGGCGGCUUUGUAAGUUAGAGGUGAAAGCCUGGAGCUCAACUCCAGAACUGCCUUUAAGACUGCAUCGCUUGAAUCCAGGAGAGGUGAGUGGAAUUCCGAGUGUAGAGGUG